This 226-nucleotide long non-coding RNA is filed under the name Lathyrus oleraceus (garden pea). Its description in RNAcentral is "Pisum sativum (pea) long non-coding RNA (PSAT_LNC014999)". The record is from RNAcentral. Lineage: Eukaryota; Viridiplantae; Streptophyta; Magnoliopsida; Fabales; Fabaceae.
UUGCCAAUACAACCACCCUACACACAAGACCACAAACCCUUGGCAUUUUGUUCUCUCUUCUAAAAAACUGCCACCAUACUGCAGCAGAAAAAAGAAGAGAACCUUGGCAAGUACAUUUUCAAAACAAUAGGGCAUUAACUUAGUCCCAUUUCUUCUGUCAUGAGAGGCCAUUAGCAGACCAACAAAACCAGCAUAACAUUGCAGCAGGAAGUGGUUUCACCUUGUC